GACGAACGCUGGCGGCGUGCUUAACACAUGCAAGUCGAACGGAAAGGCCCUGCUUUUGUGGGGUGCUCGAGUGGCGAACGGGUGAGUAACACGUGAGUAACCUGCCCUUGACUUUGGGAUAACUUCAGGAAACUGGGGCUAAUACCGGAUAGGAGCUCCUGCUGCAUGGUGGGGGUUGGAAAGUUUCGGCGGUUGGGGAUGGACUCGCGGCUUAUCAGCUUGUUGGUGGGGUAGUGGCUUACCAAGGCUUUGACGGGUAGCCGGCCUGAGAGGGUGACCGGCCACAUUGGGACUGAGAGACGGCCCAGACUCCUACGGUAGGCAGCAAUGGGGAAUAUGACACAAUGAGCGGAAGCCUGAUGCAGCAACGCCGCGUGCGGGAUGACGGCCUUCGGGUUGUAAACCGCAUUCGCCUGUGACGAAGCGUGAGUGACGGUAAUGGGUAAAGAAGCACCGGCUAACUACGUG
This 468-nucleotide ribosomal RNA is filed under the name uncultured bacterium. RNAcentral's name for it is "partial 16S ribosomal RNA". It matches the Rfam family "Bacterial small subunit ribosomal RNA", at positions 28 to 507 of the family's 1533-position model. The record is from RNAcentral.